Panicum virgatum (switchgrass) is the source of this 1831-nucleotide long non-coding RNA. RefSeq lists it as uncharacterized. Lineage: Eukaryota; Viridiplantae; Streptophyta; Magnoliopsida; Poales; Poaceae. The transcript is spliced from 2 exons. The record is from RefSeq and is a predicted model, not a curated record.
UCCAUCCAAUCCACGAGAGACGGAUGGUUUCCACGGAGGAAAACCGUUCGUCUUCUGGGCGUCACGGCCUCGCUGCCUGUACGUGCGGAUGGAUGGAGUCGUUGCCGACGCCGCUUGGCCUCGUCCGCGCCGUGCGGGCGCGGCGUGGAUGCGCGCCGCGUGGGCCACCCUGCGCCAGGUGGGCCCGCCCAGCCGCGGAAGUCGGAGGGCCGCUCGGGAGCCGCAGGCGCGCGGUUGGGCGAGGAACUGCCCCUGCUGCUCAUCGCGCGGAGGCCGUCGUGGAGCGCCGCCGGGUCGCGCAUGGACGCCGGAGCCGUGCGCGAGGUCGUGCGCAGGCCACUUGGGACUUGGCGGACCGCGGGCGAGGCCACGUGAAGGCCGCUCCGUCGUGCGAGAUCGUGGGACGCCGGAUGCGUGUGGAGGGCCACCGCGGUCGUGCGAGCCGAAGCCGCGUGGACCGUCCGCGGUCGCGACGCAGGGUCGCAUGAGGGUCGCCGAGGCACCUGGCCGCCGGUCGCCGAUCCGAGGCCGGGCUGGGCGCUCGGGCUGGUGAAGGAGCGUGGACGCGUGGUUCUCAUCCUCAUCGGAGAAGAGCUGUUGGAGACAGUCGAAGCUUAUGGCCUAGAGCACCGUCAUGCAGGGCAGCAGGGGCAUCUUGCUAGCUACAGUACGACACAAGAUACUAAGGUCCUGUUUAGUUAAGCUGUUUAGUUAAGCGCCCGUUUAGUUCCCAAACCCAAAAAUUUUUGGGUGUCACGUCGAUCUUUGACCGGAUGUCGGGAGGGCUUUUCGAACACUAAUUAAAAAACUAAUUUUAGAAGUCACUUGUAAACCGCGAGACGAAUGUUUUGAGGCCUUUGACCGCAUCGUUAGCACAUGUGGGUUACUGUAGUACUUAUGGCUAAUCAUGCCCUAAUUAGGCUCAAAAGAUUCGUCUCGUCGUGUACAUCCAAACUAUGUAAUUAGUUUUGUUAUUUAAUUACAUUUAGUGUUUCAUACAUGUGUUCAAAGGGGAGUUGAAAAUUUUUGGGAACUAAACGGCUCCUAAAAAAACGGGAAUCCUUGUUGUAGGACGUCCGAUGAGAUUAAAAAAACCGGACGCCUUCCACACCAGAACAGCGAAUCGGACUUUGCCGGCACUCCACUCGCUGGCACUUUGCUCGCCGCUCGCAACCCACCACGCAGCAAAAAUGCACGCCCGGGGUGAGAUCCGUGCCGGCCCCCGCCGCCCUCAUCACAUGUGCAUCCACGGCCUGCUCCACCCGGAUCGUCCUGGACUCGUUCCGCUCGGAUUUGAUUUCGCUCGAUUCGACGGGAGCUCUGGGGUGGCGGCGCACGAGGGCUCCUACGGGAGCUCCGAAACGGCAGCAUGGCCACCCGACGGCAGUUAAAAGGUGCUGGAUGGGGCGCACGCGGUGGGGGGCUGGGCCGCCGCUCCCCUGCACCUCCCCCCGCCCUGGCCGCUGUCCCGCGCUAGGGUAAGCCGCGCCGGCCGCCCGGAGGAGGGCGGUGGCCAUGGCGGGCAAUUCUUGAAGGUUGAAGAUGAGCAAAAGCUGUGGCGGGCAUAAGAUGGUCAUGGGGCAAUAUGUAUCUUAUAAUAUUGCAGUAGAUAUUUUGGAAUGUUGCAAGUAUUAUAAAUGAAUGUUGCAAAAUCAGAUCUAGACGUUGCAUUGUUGCAAGUGUUUAAUCUGAAUGUUGUGUCUUCAAUAAGAAAUUUAAAUAUCCCAUGCAACAUGAAACAGAUAUUGCGGCAGAUUUUUUUCUCUUCAUCAAUGGAUGGUUAAUAAUUUUUUUCAAUAGUUUUUUGAUGUUGCAAAUGAUGGUUUUCUAU